GCUUCCACUGAGAAGAUAGUGGCGAACGGGUGAGUAAUACAUCGGAACGUACCGUGUAGUGGGGAUAACGUAGCGAAAGUUACGCUAAUACCGCAUACGAUCCACGGAUGAAAGCAGGGGGACCUUCGGGCCUUGUGCUAUACGAGCGGCCGAUGUCUGAUUAGCUAGUUGGUGAGGUAAAGGCUCACCAAGGCGACGAUCAGUAGCGGGUCUGAGAGGAUGAUCCGCCACACUGGGACUGAGACACGGCCCAGACUCCUACGGGAGGCAGCAGUGGGGAAUUUUGGACAAUGGGCGCAAGCCUGAUCCAGCCAUGCCGCGUGUCUGAAGAAGGCCUUCGGGUUGUAAAGGACUUUUGUCAGGGAGCAAAACUUACUGGUUAAUACCUGGUGAGGUUGAGAGUACCUGAAGAAUAAGCACCGGCUAACUACGUGCCAGCAGCCGCGGUAAUACGUAGGGUGCAAGCGUUAAUCGGAAUUACUGGGCGUAAAGCGU
RNAcentral lists this ribosomal RNA (495 nucleotides) under uncultured bacterium. Its description in RNAcentral is "bacterial SSU rRNA". It matches the Rfam family "Bacterial small subunit ribosomal RNA", at positions 77 to 568 of the family's 1533-position model. The record is from RNAcentral.